RNAcentral lists this long non-coding RNA (281 nucleotides) under Hordeum vulgare. RNAcentral's name for it is "long non-coding RNA (HVUL_LNC001856)". The record is from RNAcentral. Lineage: Eukaryota; Viridiplantae; Streptophyta; Magnoliopsida; Poales; Poaceae.
AAUAGAACAAACGACCAACUAUUGGAUUUGAAUGGAUGUCCAGUGCGUCGAUAAGGAAACAAGACGAUGGUAAGGAAAGGAAAAACACAAACCUUGACAAACCAAAGGAGCAGAUGAUCAAGAAGAAGCACGUCACCACAAACCUUGACGUGCCAAACCAGCACAUGAUCAACAAGAAGCACGUCAUAAACAGUAGAACCUGCAAAGUAAAAUAAAAUGAUAGAAAAACAUGGAGUUAGGAAGUAUACAUUUCAUCAAAUAGAAAAUAUGCAGGGCAAGCA